GGGAAUAUUGCACAAUGGGCGAAAGCCUGAUGCAGCCAUGCCGCGUGUAUGAAGAAGGCCUUCGGGUUGUAAAGUACUUUCAGUUGUGAGGAAGGGUGUGUAGUUAAUAGCUGCACAUCUUGACGUUAGCAACAGAAGAAGCACCGGCUAACUCCGUGCCAGCAGCCGCGGUAAUACGGAGGGUGCGAGCGUUAAUCGGAAUUACUGGGCGUAAAGCGCAUGCAGGUGGUUCAUUAAGUCAGAUGUGAAAGCCCGGGGCUCAACCUCGGAACUGCAUUUGAAACUGGUGAACUAGAGURCUGUAGAGGGGGGUAGAAUUUCAGGUGUAGCGGUGAAAUGCGUAGAGAUCUGAAGGAAUACCAGUGGCGAAGGCGGCCCCCUGGACAGAUACUGACACUCAGAUGCGAAAGCGUGGGGAGCAAACAGGAUUAGAUACCCUGGUAGUCCACGCCGUAAACGAUGUCUACUUGGAGGUUGUGGCCUUGAGCCGUGGCUUUCGGAGCUAACGCGUUAAGUAGACCGCCUGGGGAGUACGGUCGCAAGAUUAAAACUCAAAUGAAUUGACGGGGGCCCGCACAAGCGGUGGAGCAUGUGGUUUAAU
RNAcentral lists this ribosomal RNA (601 nucleotides) under Vibrio cyclitrophicus. Its description in RNAcentral is "bacterial SSU rRNA". It matches the Rfam family "Bacterial small subunit ribosomal RNA", at positions 357 to 950 of the family's 1533-position model. Lineage: Bacteria; Pseudomonadati; Pseudomonadota; Gammaproteobacteria; Vibrionales; Vibrionaceae. The record is from RNAcentral.